Molecule: transfer RNA, 76 nt
Filed under: Deltaproteobacteria bacterium RIFOXYD12_FULL_56_24
Lineage: Bacteria; Deltaproteobacteria
Also listed under: 1 other name
Description: tRNA-Lys
Rfam family: tRNA
About the family: Transfer RNA (tRNA) molecules are approximately 80 nucleotides in length. Their secondary structure includes four short double-helical elements and three loops (D, anti-codon, and T loops). Further hydrogen bonds mediate the characteristic L-shaped molecular structure. tRNAs have two regions of fundamental functional importance: the anti-codon, which is responsible for specific mRNA codon recognition, and the 3' end, to which the tRNAs corresponding amino acid is attached (by aminoacyl-tRNA synthetases). tRNAs cope with the degeneracy of the genetic code in two manners: having more than one tRNA (with a specific anti-codon) for a particular amino acid; and 'wobble' base-pairing, i.e. permitting non-standard base-pairing at the 3rd anti-codon position.
Source: RNAcentral
GGGCCGUUAGCUCAAUUGGUAGAGCAAGUGACUCUUAAUCACUAGGUCCGCGGUUCGAUCCCGCGACGGCCCACCA